UUCAAAGCAACUUGAAGUUUCCAAAUCACUAAAAAUAGAAGAAGAAGAAGAUGAAGGUGAUGAUGAUGAAGAUGAAGCAACUUCAAAUUACUGUUCUUUCUGUGCAAAAAAUGGGAGGAUGUCACCCCAGGCUUCAUUCCUCAAGAGACUUCCACAUCUCACUCCAAACUAUAAAGCUAACUGAGCAUAUAGCACCACCAGAUGGACUAAGGACUCCAGAGCAGGAGGUGAUUGAGGCUUCCUGAGGCUCCACUAACCCUUAAGCUUCUAAGAGACUUGGGGAUUCUUACACCUGGUGGACCUGAGAGAGGGAUGUUCCCACUGCCUGCACCGUGGAAAGACUAGUUAACAUCUCUUACAUCCAAUCCAUUGUGUGAAACCCUCAUCCAGCGCACGCUAAAUCAGCGUGAUUGCAUGCCAAACAGAGGAUAAAAGGCUCGGAGGUGGGUACAGUAAUCCAGGGAGAGCGGGUGACCUGCUUGAAGGCAUACUGUUUUAUUCUCUCACACAUAUUCACUUCUAAGCCUCUGAGUAUAUGCAGAUUAGUCUUGUCUGAUCAGUGGACUCUCCAGUUAUGUCCUAUUUUUGUUUUUUUCUUUCUCUCUAACUGAACUGUGUGGACACUGUCUGUAAUGUGCAUGCAUGUGUCUGAUUGUAACUGUGUAUCUGGAGGGGAUUUUUGCUUGUUUGCAAGUUCCGGGCCAGGCAGGUUUGAGUGUGCGUGACUAAAAGUACUGUAUGUGCUUGUGCAUGUGUGUGUUUAGGUAAAUGUGGAGGUAUGUUUGCCAGACACACGGCUUUGUCUAGUCCUGGCAUCGUGCUCGGCUCACCAGAUGUUCUCCUUUUUUAUCAUCCUCCA
Monopterus albus (swamp eel) is the source of this 859-nucleotide long non-coding RNA. RefSeq lists it as uncharacterized. The record is from RefSeq and is a predicted model, not a curated record. The transcript has 3 exons. Lineage: Eukaryota; Metazoa; Chordata; Actinopteri; Synbranchiformes; Synbranchidae.